GUUCUGAUGAAGAGUCCCAAACUAGGGCGAAACAGCUGUCCAGUAC
Molecule: non-coding RNA, 46 nt
Filed under: Trichobilharzia regenti
Lineage: Eukaryota; Metazoa; Platyhelminthes; Trematoda; Strigeidida; Schistosomatidae
Source: RNAcentral